AAAUUAAACAACACCCGCCACAGCGGGUUUAAGGCGCCCCUUAGAGUUUGAUUCUGGCUCAGAUUGAACGCUGGCGGCAGGCUUAACACAUGCAAGUCGAGCGGAGAGAGGUAGCUUGCUACUGAUCUUAGCGGCGGACGGGUGAGUAAUGCUUAGGAAUCUGCCUAUUAGUGGGCGACAACAUUUCGAAAGGAAUGCUAAUACCGCAUACGUCCUACGGGAGAAAGCAGGGGAUCUUCGGACCUUGCGCUAAUAGAUGAGCUUAAGUCGGAUUAGCUAGUUGGUGGGGUAAAGGCCUACCAAGGCGACGAUCUGUAGCGGGUCUGAGAGGAUGAUCCGCCACACUGGGACUGAGACACGGCCCAGACUCCUACGGGAGGCAGCAGUGGGGAAUAUUGGACAAUGGGCGCAAGCCUGAUCCAGCCAUGCCGCGUGUGUGAAGAAGGCCUUAUGGUUGUAAAGCACUUUAAGCGAGGAGGAGGCUACUUUAGUUAAUACCUAGAGAUAGUGGACGUUACUCGCAGAAUAAGCACCGGCUAACUCUGUGCCAGCAGCCGCGGUAAUACAGAGGGUGCAAGCGUUAAUCGGAUUUACUGGGCGUAAAGCGCGCGUAGGCGGCUAAUUAAGUCAAAUGUGAAAUCCCCGAGCUUAACUUGGGAAUUGCAUUCGAUACUGGUUAGCUAGAGUGUGGGAGAGGAUGGUAGAAUUCCAGGUGUAGCGGUGAAAUGCGUAGAGAUCUGGAGGAAUACCGAUGGCGAAGGCAGCCAUCUGGCCUAACACUGACGCUGAGGUGCGAAAGCAUGGGGAGCAAACAGGAUUAGAUACCCUGGUAGUCCAUGCCGUAAACGAUGUCUACUAGCCGUUGGGGCCUUUGAGGCUUUAGUGGCGCAGCUAACGCGAA
This 901-nucleotide ribosomal RNA is filed under the name Acinetobacter sp. RNAcentral's name for it is "bacterial SSU rRNA". It matches the Rfam family "Bacterial small subunit ribosomal RNA", at positions 1 to 861 of the family's 1533-position model. Lineage: Bacteria; Pseudomonadati; Pseudomonadota; Gammaproteobacteria; Moraxellales; Moraxellaceae. The record is from RNAcentral.